RNAcentral lists this antisense RNA (195 nucleotides) under Brenneria goodwinii. Its description in RNAcentral is "Yersinia sRNA 276". It matches the Rfam family "Yersinia sRNA 276". Lineage: Bacteria; Pseudomonadati; Pseudomonadota; Gammaproteobacteria; Enterobacterales; Pectobacteriaceae. The record is from Rfam by way of RNAcentral.
AACCGACAUCAAGGAUUCAUUCUGAGACCCCUGACCGACCGCCAGAUAGGCAUUCAUGCCCAGCUCUUUCAUCUGCUGUUCGCCAAUCACGCGAGUAAUGAUGUUCUGACUGUAGGUAUCGGCCAGUUGGCGCGCCUGAGAAGCCAGAUAGGCGGCAUUACAGAUAUUGGGCGGCAUGUUGCCCAGAUCUUUCGC